AUUACAUGCCGUAUCCGGGAAGCUGCUGGAAUGGAAUGCAGCGAGGCACUCCGUGAUGAGACCGACGGCCUCCGCGUACGUCAGAGUCGGGAUGCUCCGAGCAAAGGGAGGCUGAAGUUUGCACCUCUGGGCUUCUGAGCACAGGACAAUUCUCCCCUCUGGAAUCUGGCAGCGUCCUGCAGCCUGGAUAACCUGAGUGAUUUGGUUUUCCAGCCUCAUCUCCUACGCCAGGCGUUUUAUGACUUUCUCCUGAGUGAGAGCAAUGUGGUUUGGGAGAUAAGAUCUGCCUCGGAAAGAGCAACCAACGCCGGGAUGUGACAGCGAAACUGAAGAAGUGCUGACAGAUGAAAAAUAUUUUGUUCUUCCUUUUCCAAAUCGUGGAGCAGCUCAGAUCUGUCCCUGUACCUGUCCUUUCUUCCUGGGGAGCCCUGGCAGCUUCAUGCUAAGCAGAGGCUCUGUGCCGUGUCCCCUGGUCAUGCUGGAGGCUGAGGUUAUAAAUUUCCUCCCUGAUAUAUAAAGAUGCCACCACAGAAAUGUUUCUGGAGAGGUUGCCUGGAAAUAACUGCACAAGCAGGCUUUCAGGGGCUUAGAAGGAGUCACAACUCAGGCUGUGGGAAUCAUGGAAUGGAUUGGAAGGGGCUGGAAAGGACCAUAAAGAUCAUCUCGUCUCAUCCCACCCCGGCCAUGGAUGCCUUCCACUGUCCCAGGUUUCUCCAAGCGCCAUCCAACCUGGCCUUGGACACUUCCAGCGAUCCAGGAGCAGCCACAGCUUCUCUGGGCACCCUGUGCCAGGGCCUUCCCACCCUCACAGGGAAGAAUUUCUUUCCAACAUCCUAUCUAACCCUGCUCUCUAUCAGUGUGAAGCCACCCCCCCUUGCCCUGCCACCCCAGGCUCUUGUAAAGAAUCUCUCUCCAUCGUGUCAGCUCCCUUCAGGUACUGGAAUGGCACAAUAAGGUCACCCCAAAUCUACUGCCUUUCCCCAAAAUAAUUAUUUUCCCCCUGUCCCUGCAAAGACUGUUUCUCUGGGAUCAAUCAAAGCCUAAAACAAGCAAAAAAAAAAAAAAAAAAAAAAAAAAAAAACAAAAAAACACCACAAAAAAACCCCCAAAAUAAUAAAAUCAUAGUCUUCAAUUAGAAAAUAAUUUAUAAACAUUCUUGUGUGGGAGAUGGCAUGGACAGGAUAGAAAGGGAGGAAAAAAUACCCCAAGUGGUAAAUGAAGCCUAAAAUUCACAGAUGGGGUAAAAUCUUAUAAACAUUAAUGUUAGCCUGGAGGCUUGGGAUGUUGAUUUGGAGAGGAAUGCUGCUGGUGCUGGAUAGAUCAGACUCUCAUUGACUUCUAAACCCAAUGAUGCUGGUCUUCAAACAAGCCUGACGUGCACAGAGAGUGCCACAGUGCACAGAUUUAGGUCAGAUGGGGAGGAAGAGGAGCUCUGGCUGCAAGUUUGGGGUUUGCUCUCACUAAAUGAGCUGGCUGGGAUGUUUGCCUUUGCUUCAGCACCUGACUGUGCUGUUCCAGAGCAAUAAAUGCAGCUCUUGCAUAGUUCAGGAGAUCUGAAAAUGAGAUCAAGUUUAAUACAUUGCACAACUCAGUUGAAAGGCUCCUACUGGGCUAUUUAAUAUUGGUCUGGAAUAGCUGCAGUGCAGGGCAGCAAAGCAAUCCUUUUUCCUUUGUUUUUCAGGAUUUGAGCCUUUUGCUGCUCGUGUUUUUGUAGCUAUACUCGAGAAAAACCAGUCUGGUUUUUCAGUACAACAAAAUUCAGAUGUGAACAACAGCAGAUGGGGAAUGUUCCUUGUGGAACGGUGUCACCCUGACCCCAGGGGUGUUCCUAGGAAAGGGGUAAAGCUCCCAUCUGCUUUUCUACUCCAGGAAAAGCAAAGUCUGUGUACCACUAGAGGGUGCAUCAGCUGCAAAAAACCCAGGAUUUUGUUCAGGAGCUGCUCUGUUUUGCAGCUCUGAAAUUAAUUUAAACAGCCUCAGCUAUCUGAUGUUUAGUUCUCAGCAUCAUCCAGCUCACCUGAACUUGCCCGUGGUGGGUGGCUUUGUCAACAGCAGAUAAUUUAUUUUGGCUCUUCCAAUUCCACUUGCUUGUUGUCUGUUGCAGAGCCCCAGGCAAAGCAAGAUUAUUUAAAUGUAUUGGAUACAAGGAUUUGCUGUUGUGGCACCAGAGCCUCGGUGCCUCAGCUCCCUUUGCUGGUGGGAUGAAUAGCCAAGAGUUGAGGGCAGAAGGUGGAGAUUGCUGAACCUGAUCCAAAACGAAGCAGACUGGGAAUUUCAGCUGGCUUAUGGCACUGCCUGUUCUCCUGCUUGUCUCAGCCUAGAAAAGUCCUGGAGCAAAGCAUCCUUUUCUGUCUGCACCUCCCUGCCAGACAGAUCUUCAUCUUUUGCUCUCAGGAAUUGUAUUUCUUGGAGGGUGGCAUGUUUCUAUUUAUCCAAGGAAAGGUGAUUACAGCUUAGAGGACUGAAAGAGAAUGGGAAUGUUUACAUCCAGGAAGAAAGCUUAUAAAGCCAUUUGGAGUUCUAGCUGAGAUGUAAAUUCUUCCAGCCCAACAGAUCUACCCUAGUUCCCUGCUAUUUUAAGCAGCCCCAUUAAAUAAUCCUGUUCAUAAAGCAAUCAAAGCCUCACCUGGUUCUCUGCACUGUGCUCCAUCCAAAACACCCAAAGACAAGCUGCAAAUGUAACAUGCAGAAGGGUGAAAUAAUUCUGCUUUGAUGCCACCAGACCUCUUGUGCUCCUGGCUCACAGGACACAUCCACCAAAGGCCCUGUUUGUGUCCCUGAACAAUCACAGGAGGUGUUUGUGUGGUAGGUGCAGCUCUUUUCCCCUCCAAGCCAUUGUGGGAGGGAUUGUGCCCUUCCCUGGGUGUUGUAAAAGCCAUGGGGCAGCCAGGACAGAAAUCCCCUGAAAUUCUGACAGCUCUCUCCCUGAGACCUGGGAGAUUUGGAGCACGUGCAGGUGGGAGGACAGAGCUGCAGGGAAGUCCUGGGGGAUGCUGCAAGUGCUGGGGAGCAGAGGGAGGUGUCCCUGGGACUGCCUAAAGCCUCAUUCAUGGAUUUUGUGUCCUUGUUCAGCCUCAGAUGGGAUAACACAAUCCCUGGGCUUGCCUGUCUCCUGUCCUGGCCCCCAGCACUGACCUGGGCCAGAGCCCAGCAGCUGAACCUCACUAAACUGCCUGAUUUGGAUAUUCCUGUCCCUUGCAGGUGCAGGUGGGAGCUGCACUGUCCAGGUGAGCUGACCCAGAGAAAACCCAUCCUCCUGGCUCACUCAAAACACAGAUUUGUAACAGAUCAGGACCACAAGGACAAGUGUGAGGGAGGAUGGGGCCCUUCAGAUCUGCUCCACACACAAACAUCCCAUCAGUGGUGUUUUUCUGGAUCGCUUUUUUCCCAUCUGGAAGAUUUUUGCUGCAUUCCUCUGCCCUAAGCAGCGUUCCAGGGUCUGUCCCAGUGGGUGCUUGGCUUUCUGUGGGUGCACAAGUGUAAUUUGUGCUGCAGCUCUGUGUGAGUGUUAAAAAAGACACAGAAGGGGCCUCGCCCUGUGCUCAGGAGCAGGCAGGACCCCCCAGCUCCUCCUCUGAAACCCUCCUCGGUUAGAGCUGAAAUCCAGCAGUAGAUGGCACCAGCAGGAUGGAAAAAAAAGGCUUUAAACUCCUGUAAUGCCUCCAAAUUCCCCAAAUGUUUCACAAGACACAGCUCAAUGAAAAUGUUCCUGGCAGAGGUGAAUCACCCGGAGUGGCCCAGGGUGUCCUUGCCAGGGCUGGGGACACACUCAGGAAAGCAGGACACGGAUAUAACACACUCUAUUCCAAUUUCCACGCACACAGGAGCAGUUUCUAAAGCAAACAGAGGAAGCUGCUGGGAAUUCCCUACAAACUGGACAUUGCAGGCUUCAGUGGUGCUGUCCUGGGAAGAUUCCUGUUGCUGUCUUUCCUACACAAUGCAUCCAAGUUGAAUUUCUGUCUCAAAUGUUGACCAGGACUCAUAUUUCCCAUUUCACACCUAUGGCCAUAGGGAAUAUUUGAUACAGGGAGAGCUCACAAGAUUCUCGUUUUUAAGUUUUUUGUCCUACAGAAUUAUGGCUUCAGGUUUUUAUCAAGAAUAUGCUACAGAAUGGAUAAAUAAUUGUAUAAAAUACUGAAGAAACUCAUACACAGGUGAGCCAAGCAGGACACUUCACACUAUUCUGGAGUCUUUUUUUUCUUUCCUUUUGUUUUGGACACACACAGGAAUAAAGUGAUCCAUGUCCUGAAGUGUUUGAAGUGAAAGAGAUGAGGACAAAAUAAUCAAUUCCUGUGCUUUCCUAACUAAAUAUGACUCAGGGCACCCAGAAAUGGUGAGAGAAGGAGCCCCAGGGUGAGGGUGCUGCAGGUAAAAAAUCAGCCUCCAGUUUUAGGCCCCCCUUAGGGAGGAGCUGCUGAGUGCAGGUUUCCAGCCCAGCAAAUUGCAUUUCUGAUCUGCUCCCCAGUUACUCGUGGCUUCCAUUUCCAGAGUGUAGCACAAUGCAGAUUUUAGCAGGCAGUGCAGAUGGUAUUAAAAGAUGCUUUUUUAGCUGUAGCUGCCACCAAAUGGUCUCUCUUUAAACAUUUUUAUUUUCUUCAGCUCCUAUCUGCCACUUACAUGCCCCUGUAACUUGCUGAAAGAAGUUUUUCUGUGCAGCUCUUUCCCCUGAUGCUUCCAAACUUGUUCUAGUUGGGUGUGAUUUCCCUUGGCAGCGUGGUCUGACCACCAUGUCUGAAAGUUCCUGAAUAAAUUCUAUACUCAACAGGGUGGACAUCAUAUUUUUAAUUGAAAUAAUCAUUGAAUCACUCAGUGAGCAGCUCUGCAGUGGCUGUGCUCCAGAGAUAGUAGGAGGAAUAUUAAUGUGCACAAGAAAAGGCUCUGUUUCUCCAUAGAUUGUACAGUAGGGGAAGACCUUGUUUUCUGGAUCUCUUUAACAAAGGUGUUUUCAGCGAGAAUUGCAAAUGAGCCUCUCUUCCAUGGAGGCAAUUUGCAUAUCAUUAGCCUUCCGGGUUUGUUAAUUGUUUUCACCUAGAGGAGGUGGAAGGGUUCAGUCUUUGUUUGGAAAAUGACAAUGCUUUCAGCAAGUGGCACAUUUUAUUUGUGAUAGGUGAUACAGUUUUUUUUUAACAUUUUCUGUGAACUGCUACCAAUUUUGAUGGAGAUGAUGAUGCCCUUUCAAAAGAAAAUUGAGACCUUUCCAGCAGCUCACUCAACGUUUAAUUUCCUUGUAUUUCUUUGGAUGUGGCUUUUUCAAAUAAAAGAAAUAUUUUCCUUU
Long non-coding RNA from Serinus canaria (Common canary), 5275 nucleotides. RefSeq lists it as uncharacterized. The transcript is spliced from 2 exons. Lineage: Eukaryota; Metazoa; Chordata; Aves; Passeriformes; Fringillidae. The record is from RefSeq and is a predicted model, not a curated record.